CAUCUCAUUAACUAGUUUUAACCAUGUUUGCAAAAAAAUCACAAAUUCACUACAAGCUGUCUUCCUGAGCAACAGUCACUAAAUUAUUUAUAACUGGAGCUAAGAAACUCCAAAUCAAGUGCCGUUAAUUUUCCCUGAAAAUAGACUCACAUAUCUUCCAUCCAUCAAAUUUUCAAAAUUUUUGGUUUGACCAAUCAAUACCAGAUUUUUAUUGAAGUUUCUUCUGUUUCACUGUUUGACUAUUCUGACUACUCUUCACUACAAAUCAAUUUUAUCAUUAUACAGAAUUCAAAUUAUGUUAUCGUUUAUUUCAUUUGAAACUAGACUCAUUAAGGAGUCUAAGUAUAUAAAUUUUAUCUUAUAAUCAUCAUUGUACAAUUUACAAUGAUUUUCUAAAAACAGAACAGGGGAUUUCAAGGUUAUUUUGACUCUAUCCUACGCCACUUCAAAUAUCUCAUUAUCUACAAUUCUUUUGCUUACAAAGUUUCUUUUAUAAGAAACUAGACUCAUUAAGCUUUAAUUACAUAAUUUAUUCAGCUUCUAAUUCAAUUUCUACAAUUUAUGGUGAUUUUCCAAAAUCACGCUACUGUUGCUAUCCCAAGCAGAUUUAUUACAAUUUGCUCUUUCACACAUUCCUUGCAUUUAAAUUAUCUAAACAUGUAUAUCAUGUCAUUCAAGAUCGAACUCAAAUAACAUAGGCAUUAAAAUGCUUCACUAACAGCUUUAGUUUCAUUGAAGCGAAUAAAAUACAAAAUCAUAUUCACAUUUAAUUUUCCACGAUCGUAAUCACCUAAAAAUAAAUCAUAUACUUCCACAAAUCUUUCCACAAGGACCAAGUGUUUAUAUUUGAAUAUAAACAUAGAAUCACUUCACAUAACUACACACAUUUACCGAAUAUAUCACGAUCACAUAUAUAGUCAUAACACUUAUUCACAGAUGCAUCACUUUAUAUACUUAUAAUUUAAUUCAAAUCAAAUCACAUACGAGUACAUGAUACGUACCUGACCAACUUAAUAUGUAAUGCACUUUCAAUUUGUCAACUUAGUGUAGGAUCUUGUAAUUGUAUACUUUUAUCAAAUUCAUCGGCACUUGGCCUGCUAGGUAUAAAACCCAAAAUUAUGUUACCAGCACGAAUACAUUUCCAGCACGAAGCCUGCGGGACUUUAGCCCGGAUACAUUUCCAGCACGAAGCCUGCGGGACUUUAGCCCGGAUACAUUUCCAGCACGAAGCCUGCGGGACUUUAGCCCGGAUACAUUUCCAGCACGAAGCCUGCGGGUCUUUAGCCCUGAUACAUUUCCAGCACGAAGCCUGCGGGUCUUUAGCUCGGAUACAUUUCCAGUGUCUUGCUUAUUUAUUCACAUGUUAACACAUUUCACAUAACAUAUCACAUUAGCAAUUCAAUUGCUUCAUUCGAAUAUAAGCACAAAAUGUACACCUACCCUUUAACUUUCGGUUCAAUAAUCAUACACAAGGAACACAAAUGUCGGAAUCCUGUGUCAUGACAUAUGUAUCCUAACUAUUCCUAAGAUUCAUACAGGGCUUUCGAACGUCGUAACUCGGUUGAAUCGAAAGCUCGAACAUAGUUUUCAAACUCAUAAACAUUCGGCAUUUACAAGUAUAAAUUCAUAUAUUAUAUACCAGCAUAUAUACUUAACAUUUAACUACAUUUAGGCAUGUGUAUUUGCUUAUAAACUUACCUCAGACGUCGUAAAACGGGACGGAGCUGCUAGUCGACAACUUUCGUUUUUCCCUAGUCCAAAUCCGAUUUCUUUGGUUCUUGAUCUAAAAAUAUUCAAAUUAAGCUCAUUCAAACAUAUUUUCAUUCAAUUUAGUUCAAAAACACAUAAAUGAGAAAAUUACCAUUUUACCCCUGACAUUUACAAUUUUUACAAUUUAAUCCCUAUUGCACAAAACACAAAAUAUACAAAAUUUCAAUAUACCCAUGUUGGGCCGAAUUUUACCCAUACCCAUACAAGUCCAUAUAUUUCAUCAAUUUCAUAUUUUAGUCUCUCAAAUUUUUAUUUUUGCAAUUAAGUCCUAAUUACUCAAAAUCAUCAAAAAUUCCAAUACAAAAAUAUGUUAACCCAACACCUAUCUUUCAUAUUUCACCAUCAAACCAUAAAAAUCACAAGCUUCCAUCAAUGGCAUAACUCAAAAUAUUCAUCAAAAUUCAAAUUUUAAGCAUGGGUUUUGAAGUACUCGAAGCAACGAUCUCAAAAACGUAAAAAUUAUCAAAAACCGACAAAGAACGAACCUUGGAUUUGAGCUUGGUAGUUGGCCGAACCUAAGCUUCCCUUAUUUCUUUUUCUUUUCUUUUGUUUCGGCAUGGGUGAAAUAAAACAUAUGCCCACUCAUAUUUUACUUUAUAAUAUCUUUUAUAUUAUAAAGCUUAUAAUUUUUAGUUUUUACAUUUGAAAUAAUAAUAAAAUCAUAUAAUAUAUAUAUCCUUUACCAACCAAACAAUAAGCUAAUGCACAUGAUAUGGCUUUCACGUUUAUGUCUUAUAAUAUAUAUUACACCUUAAUAUAAAAUAAUAUUUAAUUUACACACAUAUAUAUCUUUAAUAAAAUAUUAUAAAACCAUAUGGUAUAUACUUACCACCGUCCCACUAGUAAUCAAAUGACUAAUUACAACUUAAAUACUUCAAUUUAAAAAGCCACUAACAAUUCGGCCCUUAUACUAUAAACCAUCAAAUUUUCUUUUUACAUGAUUAAGUCCUUUUAUUUAAUCGGAUACCCAAACGAUAAAAUUAAAAUACGAAAAUUUUACAGAUAUAAAUUCACACAUAAUAAACACAUAAAAUAAUUUUUAAAUAUUUUUUCUGGCUCGGAUAUGUGAUCCCGAAACCACUGUUCCAAAUAGGGUCUAAACUGGGCUGUAACAACUCUCCCCCCUUUAGGGAUUUUUGUCCCCAAAAAUCUUACCAAAAAGUAGAGUAAAGGAUUUUCUUCCACAUAGUACAUUACUAAUUCACACAUGAUUUCGAAUUUCAUAUUUCUUUAAUCUCUCAAGUAAGAUCCUGAUCUGUCUUUUGCUAUACAUCAUAUCUAACUGAACUAUUUAUAACCAUAUUGAAUUACCUUCAUUUUCUGCUCAAUUUCUCUGAUAACAUUAAUCACGCGGAUCAUUACCUCAUAAAACUCGAUCUUGAAACAAUAGAGUUCGAUAACUGCAACCAUACAAUACCUUAUAUUAUGUCAUUAAUAUAAUCACACGAUAGCUUAUCGAACAACAAUAGUCUUUCUUUGUUGCCUUCAAACUCUUAUACGUUGACAAAACAUAGUUUCGAGAAUUUUUUUUUACGCCACAAUCUCGUACUCAAAGCUUACAGUAAUUUCUUCCAGAAUCACAAUAUAACUUCUAGAUUUCAAUCUGAAACAAAGUUAGAUGAGCACCACGUGCAAACUGACAAUCCUUGAAAUGAAUAACUCAACUGAUUUAUUAAAAGAGAAAUCCAUGCAUACGGAAAGACUUAUUUAGACAGCCAUCGAUAAUUCAGAUAACAUCUAUAUUUUUCUAAGGUAAAGAUAACCCCAAUACAUAAUUGAUCAACACUCUAUUUCUAUAAUCAACAAAGUCAGGAAUACCAUAUUUCACAUUCAUUCAAUGAUAUCACAUCUCAAAUUGUUGUGCAUCUUGUUAAUCCCGUAUUAACAGACAAACUACCACUGAGAGUUUCUUGUAGUAGUUGUUACAUAAUCAUAGAGCUUUUCAGUAUACAAACUCUAUCUCGAACUAACAAUUAAUCUUCUAUUCCACAUCUAAGGUUCUAAAUCAGAAAUCAAUUUGUGUUGUACCCCUUUUUAACUUAUAAUUCGCUGACACAUUUCUGAAUUUCACAACUUUGCUAAAUAGACAUUUAUUUAGCUUCAAAUCCAGCUAAGUCAAUCACGUAUUCAUCGCUCGUAAAACACACAAAAAUUUCCCAUUCAAAACUUCCGAAACUAUAAUCAUAAUCACUUACAGACUCAAAAGUUUUUCGACGAUUCGAGCUAGCGUUGCUAUGCUAAGUUCAAAUCUUUCUCUGACAUUAAACUUUCUAAACUCUUAUAGUCAUCACAUAUGUCACAUAACUCUUUAAUCUCACGAGUCAAAAUGCGAAUCGGUUCUUCUUCGUAGGUCAUAUUAGGCUAAAUUUCAAUCUCAGACGGACUAAUCACAUGAUUGUCGGUCGUAAAACACAUAAAGAUUCUCGCUCAGAACCCCAAAGACUAUAAUCAUUUGCCCAGAUUGAUAAUCAAUCACUGACUCAUAAUCUUACAACAGUUCGAACCAUCUUUAAUUCUUGUGUCGAAUAACUCUUUACCUGAGAACUGGCGCUUCAAUAACAAUUUCUUCAACUGUUUAUCACUUUAUUGAUAAAUAUCACAUCAUUUAAAAGAUAUUUUUCACAGAUAACCAUAUAGAAUCAUAAGAAAGAAGAGAUACUGUAAUCUCAAAUAUAUCACUAUACUGAUCUUUUUAAGAAAGCGCCCAUAUCAGAUGACAAAUAUCUCAGUGAUGUCUUAGAGGAAAUCCAUAAGUAAAACAUCACUCACAUGUACCAGAAUUAACGGUAACAGAAACAAUAUAAUCUUCAUGUAUACUAAGUAGAUCAAAAACUAGUAGGAUCAAAAUACCAACAUCACACAGAUUCUAUCGUAGAUCCUUUCUUUCAAUAAAAUGAAAUAGGAUACCAGAGAAAGAUAUAAUAAUGUCAAUUGUAACCCGAACAGCCCAACAAUGCUUUCAUAUAUCAAUAUAUAUAGAUGACGUUCUCAUAUGAUAAGAAUUUUCAUUUGAAAUAUACAGUUACACAUACCUCUGAAGAUAAAUGUACACAUAGAAUGCCUAGAAGAAAACGUAGUAACUACCCGACUAUAAUCACUGCACUCAGCUAUCAUUUCAAUUCAAACAUUAUCCUACUGUCUAAUUCUAUCAUCACCGAUUUCACAAUAUUCCAUUACUAACAGAAAUCAAUUCAGAAAUACUUCCAGUUAAUACGUUCUUUAGACAUCAUACCUGAAUACUUUCAUCUCAUCGAAUUCAACUUCUUCUUUAACAGUGAAUUGGCAUAUUACGAAUGGCCUUCAACAUGAUCCAAUAUCUUUUCUGUUACUGUCUUCACUUGUGGACUCAUUCUCUUAUCUGAUCACAAUACUAAUCUUUCAACCACGAAACUUUGUAAUUUCGCACUCGUAAGCGUAUUUAAUCCAUAUAGUACGGAUCUCAUUACAAUGCUUUACCGAUGAGGGGGUGAGGGUUGUAAAGCCAACAAUUUUAACUCUUACGUAAGCAUGCACAUCACACAUACUAUUAUGAACGAACAGUUCAUUACUAAUUCUGUAUUCUCAAACAUCUAGCAAUCAUUUAUUUAUGAUCACUUGGUACUUAACACAUAGCUCAUACGCUAAUUCAAAUCAUAAAUUCUAAGUCAAAAUAUUCACACAACCAUCAUAUACCCGACAUCACAACUCAUAUACUCGUAUAAUUAUAACAUUUAUCAAUAGUAGAAUAUCAUGCAUUCUGAUUCAUACCUUUUAUGAGUUUCAACUCAUCACCAACACAUUUUCACUCAAACGUUUGAGUAUAACAUUCUAUACUAUCAGAAUUAGCUCGGUUGGAAAGAAUAUCUGUCUUACAAAACAAUUUCAUUAGAGCCGGGAGAUGUCACAGUAUCACGAGUAGUAAUAUGGCAUGUAUAGCUAGACUCACAUAUGCUAGGUUAGUCCGAGAAUCGACUAAACCAUAGCUCUGAUACCACUAAAUGUAACACUCCUAACCCGAAUCCGUUGCCGGAACAAGGUUAUAAGGUAUUACUUGACUGAACAAAACUUCUAUAAGGUCAGAGAUACUUACCAGGCAUAAAUUAUCAACACAUUAGUUCAAUUAUAAGGCUUCUCUAAACAAAAUGAGCAAGCCAUCUUCGCAUGGCUAUAAUGUAUACAAAGUCAAAAUAUCAUUUUACCUAUAGUCUAUCCUAUACAUGCCUUAAACCAUGAUGAUAUACAAUUUUCUCAACUCACAUAAUGACUCGAUAGUGUGAUGAUAUCUCCGGCUCUUCCAACUCGAACUAAAGGAUAAACCUAUAAGAAAUGGAAAAGAGAACACGGAGUAAGCUUCAAUACUUAGUAAGUUUUAAGCAAUGCAAACAAUUAAUUUACUUAUAGACCAAUUAUUUCAAAUUUUCAAGAAAUCAUUCCUAGGUAAUUGCCAUUUUGGCCAAGUAUCCAUGAACAUAAUGCAUAUUUAGCAAAUUCAUCUCACUUGAAUCUGAACUCAAUUAAAACCAAAUAUUCAAUUCACAAAUAAGAUCAUAAGAACUCGAAAAGCAUCUCAUUAACUAGUUUUAACCAUGUUUGCAACAAAAUCACAAAUUCACUACAAGCUGUCUUCUUGAGCAACAGUCACUAAAUUAUUUAUAACUGGAGCUAAGAAACUCCAAAUCAAGUGCCGUUAAUUUUCCCUGAAAAUAGACUCACAUAUCUUCCAUCCAUCAAAUUUUCAAAAUUUUUGGUUUGACCAAUCAAUACCAGAUUUUUAUUGAAGUUUCUCCUGUUUCACUGUUUGACUAUUCUGACUACUCUUCACUACAAAUCAAUUUUCUCAUUAUACAGAAUUCGAAUUAUGUUAUCGUUUAUUUCAUUUGAAACUAGACUCAUUAAGGAGUCUAAGUAUAUAAAUUUUAUCUUAUAAUCAUCAUUGUAAAAUUUACAAUGAUUUUCUAAAGACAGAACAGGGGAUUUCAAGGUCAUUUUGACUCUAUCUUACGCCACUUCAAAUAUCUCAUUAUCUACAAUUAUUUUUCUUACAAGGUUUCUUUUAUAAGAAACUAGACUCAUUAAGCUUUAAUUACAUAAUUUAUUCAGCUUCUAAUUCAAUUUCUAAACUUUAUGGUGAUUUUUCAAAAUCACGCUACUGUUGCUGUCCCAAGCAGAUUUAUUACAAUUUACUCUUUCACACAUUCCUUGCAUUCAAAUUAUCUAAACAUGUAUAUCAUGUCAUUCAAGAUCGAACUCAAAUAACAUAGGCAUUAAAAUGCUUCACUAACAGCUUUAGUUUCAUUGAAACGAAUAAAAUACAAAAUCAUAUUCACAUUUAAUUUUCCACGAUCGUAAUCACCUAAAAAUAAAUCAUAUACUUCCACAAAUCUUUC
This 7136-nucleotide long non-coding RNA is filed under the name Gossypium barbadense (sea-island cotton). Its description in RNAcentral is "long non-coding RNA (GBAR_LNC005059)". The record is from RNAcentral. Lineage: Eukaryota; Viridiplantae; Streptophyta; Magnoliopsida; Malvales; Malvaceae.